GCGGGUGGGGUGAAGUGGUUAACACACCAGAUUGUGUCUCUGGCAUGCGUGGGUUCGAUCCCCAUCACUCGCC
RNAcentral lists this transfer RNA (73 nucleotides) under Schaalia georgiae. RNAcentral's name for it is "Actinomyces georgiae tRNA-His". It matches the Rfam family "tRNA". From Rfam's summary of the family: Transfer RNA (tRNA) molecules are approximately 80 nucleotides in length. Their secondary structure includes four short double-helical elements and three loops (D, anti-codon, and T loops). Further hydrogen bonds mediate the characteristic L-shaped molecular structure. tRNAs have two regions of fundamental functional importance: the anti-codon, which is responsible for specific mRNA codon recognition, and the 3' end, to which the tRNAs corresponding amino acid is attached (by aminoacyl-tRNA synthetases). tRNAs cope with the degeneracy of the genetic code in two manners: having more than one tRNA (with a specific anti-codon) for a particular amino acid; and 'wobble' base-pairing, i.e. permitting non-standard base-pairing at the 3rd anti-codon position. Lineage: Bacteria; Bacillati; Actinomycetota; Actinomycetes; Actinomycetales; Actinomycetaceae. The record is from RNAcentral.